GCCACCCUAGCUCAGCUGGUAGAGCAAUGCUUUCGUAAAGCAUAGGUCGUCGGUUCGAAUCCGAUGGGUGGCU
This 73-nucleotide transfer RNA is filed under the name Planctomycetota bacterium. RNAcentral's name for it is "Planctomycetes bacterium tRNA-Thr". It matches the Rfam family "tRNA". Rfam says of the family: Transfer RNA (tRNA) molecules are approximately 80 nucleotides in length. Their secondary structure includes four short double-helical elements and three loops (D, anti-codon, and T loops). The record is from RNAcentral. Lineage: Bacteria; Pseudomonadati; Planctomycetota.